This 516-nucleotide long non-coding RNA is filed under the name Nicotiana tabacum (common tobacco). RNAcentral describes it as "long non-coding RNA (NTAB_LNC007675)". Lineage: Eukaryota; Viridiplantae; Streptophyta; Magnoliopsida; Solanales; Solanaceae. The record is from RNAcentral.
GCUUACAAAGAUGUUGAAAGAAAGAGCUACAGAUCACAAAAGAUCCUAGUGGAAAGGAGGUUGCUAAAAUCAAGGUAAGAACCAUCAACUGAUUCUUUUUAAUUUGUGUGUUCCUUUCUUAAAUGUGAAGUACAAUUAAAGUGUUUUUUUGGUUCACAGGCGCCAAGCUCAAGAUCAGCCUUGCAAACACUUCCAGAAAAUCGUUUGAUCAGUGACACUGAAAAUUAAACGCUUAUUAAAGGCAGACAACUCCACCUGCCAGUGAAUGAACUUUGAGCACGAUGUUGGAUCAGCCUUGCAAACCUUCUUGGUUUGCUACUUCAGAGAUAUAUCAAAAUUUUGAUCGCUCUUGUUUUUGUAUUCCUAGAGUUUUUCAAACUUAUAUAUGGAAAGUAAAACUAUUCAUACAUAUUGCUCUUUGUCAAUAUCUCAACUACUUAUGAUUGAUAACCAGCAAAAUAUCUAUGAAACUAGUGUGAAGGAGGUGAUAUAACUUAAAGUGCACCCUCUAACACU